Hydra vulgaris (swiftwater hydra) is the source of this 537-nucleotide non-coding RNA. The record is from RefSeq and is a predicted model, not a curated record. NCBI's taxonomy places the organism in Eukaryota, Metazoa, Cnidaria, Hydrozoa, Anthoathecata, Hydridae.
GUGUAAUAGAAAAUUUUUUAUUGAUGAUAUGGUGACCAGUAAAAAAACUGAUUCUCUUCUUAAGAUGUUAACUCACAUAUGUGUUAUGUGCAAGCGAAAAUUUAAUAUGUUAAAAGAGUAUGAAAUAUUCAACACUCAUAAAAACUUAUGUAAUAACGAAUUCUUAUUAUCAACGUCAUUAUUGGCUUCAUCAAAUAAUCUAAAUAAAAGUAUAAAUGAUAUCUUUGAAAUAAAUAAAGACAGUGAUAUUCCACAAGAGGUAGAAGAAGCAGCCCUUCAUAUUCUUAAGUAAAUAUUGGCAAAAAGUGGACAAAAAACAAUUGAGUUUAAAAGUAGAGGACCUCGACCCAUGAUUUUUACUCAUGUACCAAAAGCUUAUGUCGAUAGUGCUCAGGACUAAACCACUCUGAAAUAAGUGCAAGUGUGAUGGUUGCAAUGAAAACAGAUAUGGGAGUACCAUGGGAAAAACUUAAAAUUAUGUCUAGCAUAUUUGAAUCAAAAGACCUCAGAGCUGAUGUAAAAGUAGCCAUGGCAAAA